AGCUAUUUUUAUAUAGAACUGCCCACAAAAACGCCCACGCGUAACCUUUGACCGCACAAGGUAAAUCAAAGUAUUUUUUAUAUCUGUGCCAGCUAGCUAGCUCGAUUGCAGCAUAGUAAAACUAGUUCUCAGCAGCAGUAUGGCUUGUACUAGCAGUGUCAAAGGCAAAGGCAAACCAUCCAACAGUUGCAACUCCAAGAAGAUGAAACCUAGGUACAAUAAUCUGUCUUCCUGAGUCUCUGGUACUUCUUAACAAUGCGCCCAGCACUCAACUUCAUGCUCGAAGGGGUUGUCUUGGACCUGGCUGGACUAGGACUGGUCAUGACACUUCUCUAAAAUAAUACUGCACUGUUAGCUAGCUAGCUAGGCAGCUCUGAUGUACACGCCCAUAAUUAUAACUCCGUAAACAACACCGCCCACUUGUUCACGUCCGUAUACUGGAUUCUAUUUUUAGCAUAUCCGGUCUCUGAUACGAAGUCGGAUGAGUACGUAGGAUACACAGUUCGCCAUUCCAACUUUCCCAGCAGGACAAAACAUGGUAGCGUUAUCCCCGAACGGCUGGCUGCCAAAGAAGGCGAAAUUUUGUGAAUUCACAAUAAUUAUAAAGCACACGAUUUUCAGUGCAAAGACAACAAUUCAUAUCUUCUUCCAUAUGUUUUCCUAGAUCGAUGUAAAUUGUUGUGUAUAUGCUCCAGUGCAGUAUAUAGCAUCACUAUCUCAGC
Halichondria panicea is the source of this 722-nucleotide long non-coding RNA. RefSeq lists it as uncharacterized. The record is from RefSeq and is a predicted model, not a curated record. NCBI's taxonomy places the organism in Eukaryota, Metazoa, Porifera, Demospongiae, Suberitida, Halichondriidae. The transcript has 2 exons.